RNAcentral lists this long non-coding RNA (1204 nucleotides) under Sus scrofa (pig). RNAcentral describes it as "lncRNA (ENSSSCG00045020710.1)". The record is from RNAcentral. Lineage: Eukaryota; Metazoa; Chordata; Mammalia; Artiodactyla; Suidae.
AUGAUUGCUUUCUCAAAUAAACACAAAGGCAUGGUUUUCUUGCUUAAUAGGAAGCACGGGUCUCUGACCUUAAUUCUCCUUGAAAAUCCAUUUGCUGUCCAGAGCAAGAAUCCUGAAACACAAAUGAACCGCUCACCCAGUUCAGCAUUUCAGCUGCUGAGGCAGUAUCACUUUGCAGUCUGGGCAGGAUGAAGUUCGACUGGGCGCACUGGGCUCAGUCCCAAGAGGAGCAAACCACAGCCAAGCUUCUUUGUUUCUGAAGCAUGUUGGAGAAAGGUAGGGUUGCUCUGCCCAGGAAGUAGAUUUUUACAUUUUACAAAGGACGAAGGAAAACUGCAAUAAGAAGAACCAUUCAUGAUCCCCCAGGAUCAUGCCCAACAGCCUCACGAAGUGUGGAAAUAGCCUGGCUAAGUAAGAGAGAGAUAAAUCAAAUCCUGUAGUUUUCUGUCAGCCGCUUUAAUUGUUUCUUUCCAUGCUGUCAUCCUUUGCUUUUCCUGCAGUAUUCUGCUAAACCAUUCCAUGGGCUGAUUGAGUGUAUGCAUGUGAAGCUUUGUAUAGAAUAAAUAAUUACACAAGACAUUUCUGAAAGCAUAAAUGCAUGUGGCCUAACAAAACUAAUUCACAUCUUAAAAAGCCAGCUUCUCCAAAUGUCAGUUAUGUGAGCUAACUAUUUCUCCAGCAACCUAGCAAUUUAAUUCUUUACCCUUAUCUCCUUGGCCAUACUACACACAAAUGGUUUUCAGAAUAGGAAAGAAAAAAAAAGACCUUCCGGUGUCUGUUUUAAGCUUGUUUUUAUCUACUUUAUGUCUCUAACUUUGUCCUUAUAUUUGUUUCACAGCAAAAACAAAAUAGAGAAAAGAUAUCAACCAUGUCCCCAAAGGUUUAUAUAUCUGUAAGUUCCCUUUCGCUAUUCUGUUUUAUAGCAUAGAUCUUGUCCACAGACUAUAAACAUCUACUUCCCUCACUUCUUCAAAUGUCUUUUUGAGGCUGAUGAAGGAAGGGAUUGCUAGUCAAAUGUGAGUGUCUCUCCAGGAUGGUCCUAAUAGCCGCUAUUUCUGCUGCAAGGAAUCUAUAAUUGCCUGAUUGCUUGAUCUUCUUCAAAAGAAGAAACUGAAAUCAUGCUGGAACUAGAAAGAGCCAAGAUGAGUUGUGUUUCUAAGCCCCUGGCCCUGACUCCAUCCAAUAGCUGUCACCUGACAAAUCC